AACCACCUUGAUUAAAACAGCCUCUCCACUACAAAAUGACUAGUGAUUUUAAGUAGUGUAGUGGUCAAGUGGUUCAUUAGUGUUCUUUUUAUUUUUUAUUUCUUCAUAUUUGAUACUCCAUUUAUUUAUGUAUUAUCAACCAUUACAUUAACGUACAACUGUAACAGUAAACUUCGUGUGUUAUUUAACGGGUUGGGGGC
RNAcentral lists this long non-coding RNA (200 nucleotides) under Panax ginseng (ginseng). Its description in RNAcentral is "long non-coding RNA (PGIN_LNC018328)". The record is from RNAcentral. Lineage: Eukaryota; Viridiplantae; Streptophyta; Magnoliopsida; Apiales; Araliaceae.